AUCCAUCGUACUGGUGAUAUCGCAACCAAUGAGGUACAACCGAGGUGCGAUUAUUGCUAGUUGAAAAUUAAAAUAUCCACAAAUAUAUUUUUAUGAAGGUGGUAUUAGACUUCGCAAAACUAACUUUUUGAAAUCACAAGAAA
Molecule: small nuclear RNA, 143 nt
Organism: Ochlerotatus camptorhynchus
Lineage: Eukaryota; Metazoa; Arthropoda; Insecta; Diptera; Culicidae
Product: U4 spliceosomal RNA
Exons: 1
Source: RefSeq, a predicted model, not a curated record